CGAUAUUCCUUUCUUGGUUUGUAGCUCUCCGUAAGUAGUGUGUGGGAUCUUUUCUGCAGAAUUCUUGGCCUGCUUGAGGAUGUUGCUCUACGGUAGCAUUUACCCAAUAUUCAGUGUUCAGUAACUCCAUUUUUAGGUUGAAGUAGCUAAACUAAACCAGUAAUUUUGGUAUAGAGAAUAUUUCUCUCAACUUGGUGAACUGAAGUCUGUGAUACAUUAGUUGUAAUAGCCUUAGGGGGGAAAGUUGACAUUGUAGGGAGACUUUAUGCCAAACUUUGAUCUCAAUUACACCCCCAAAACCUCACUGACUUCAGUGGUUUUACAUUCAGAGCAGAGGAUUUCUACCAGCAUUCUGUUGUUGCUUGUUUUAUUUUGACUUGCUCAGUUUUUCAUGCCAGCACUAUGAAAUGCAUUGUGGUAGUACAAAAAAUGUUGACAUUUCACCAUAGUUUUUAUCUCCUUACGCUGUGACUGUGCAUCUUGAUGUAGUUAAUUAUGUCAAAAUAAAAAAUGCUUAUUGAACACAAAGAAGACUUCUAUAAUAAUUCCUGAAUUCUUUCUUGCUGCAUUUAAUUUCAAUAGGUUUUACUAAAAGCUCUUUGUUUGAAUGAUCUCUUUCGGUACUUCUUGUUUGGGAACAACCAGCCUGCUCGGUACUUAAAAGCAGGCUCUGAAAUCUGAAUUACUUCUUUGUAUACUUUUAUUCUAUACAGUUACUUGCACAAAAGCUGUGAUAUUAAGAAAACUGAUUUUAGGAGUGGUUGCUGUAUAAUUUUUGCUUGAGGUUCUUAAUUUCACAGUUGACUAAAAUUACUGCUCUUUUCAAACCAGUAUUUCUCACACAUGGUUUCUGCUCAGAUAUAAUGGUGCAAAGUUUUGAGGUUUUAAUUAUUCUGAACUUGGAAGAUAUCAGGUGAUGGAUUCCAGUGAGACUUUGGUUAAUCUGCAGCUCUGACAUUCUUCCAACUUUGAAACCUUUAUGUAAGAACAGUGCUGCUUUUUUUUUCAGUAUAUGUUUUAGAAGUACACAGAUAAUAAUAGUGUAAAUGUUUUGUGUGGAGGUGCUGAGAAGAUGAUGGAAGUUCUGCCUUUAUGAUUAAUGGUCCUUACAUAUUUUCCACAUUUUUAGCAUGUUUCUCAGCAUCUAAGAAUGUGGGCUAGUGUUCUGCUUAUUGGAAGAAAUGACAGUGCAUGUGCGCUAUGUGUGCUGUUGUGAUAACUUUGAUUGUCAGGUUUAGUUAUCUGAAGUUUAAAUAUUUGCUAAUGUAGGUUAUUUUAGGGUUUUCUGGUGGAAAAAAUUCUUACUAUAUGUCUGCAGGAAAUGCAGGAGCCUCCUUUUACUUUUGAAGAAUUCUUAUAUUCUGAAGGUUUGGUGAGUCCAACUGCUUGUUGUUUUAACUACCCAUGUGUAUGGUGAAUUGGAGAAGCAGGAGGCAGGUCCUGAGCAAAGCCAUGUGAAUGUAAAUACUGAGAAUUGAGUUUGAGCGUAGAUUGUAUUUCCAGGACCCUCAGGCACUGGAAACUAAGAGGUUUGUAGAAAUGGCAAACCUUUAAGAGAGCAGCCUCUCUGUUAACUGCCUUUUUGUAAAAGCUAACCCAUGGAGGAAAAUUUCUGUCUGUUGUACAGUGAUUUUCUGCUGUUGUUAAAGUAUGCUUGAGUGAUGACACUGGAUCAAGCUGUUUUAAAAAUAUUUGGUCAGUCCACAGUAUUACUAACAUAACAGAAAGUCCUGAAUCCUGAGGCAAAAAGCUCUGAUGAGUAUGAAAAGGGGAGUAGCUAGUUUUGCUUUUUAAUGAGUUGCUUUCUUGUAUUGAUAAGGCUGCUGGGGAAAUCUUUUAAUAUGUGUUUCUUUUCUUAAAGAACUUGCUAUAAUGUGGUUACCAGUGGUUCAUUGAAAUGACAUACUUUUUAGAGAAAACAGAACUUUCCUUUUGACCUGCCUACAUUAUUUUAAAGUAUUGAUUCACUCAAAGCCUUUAACUACAGAGCUGUGAGAAAAAUUACUCUUUUGCUAUGAAGCAGAACUUCUUCUGUCACAGGAACAAAGAAAUAAAAAAUGAUAAAAAGAAUUUCAGUGGACAGAACAUUCCAUAAUAAGUUUUUUGUAUCUUUAAAACGUAUAUUUUUAGGAGGAGCAAUCUGACAUGAAAGUGGAGACAUUUUCAUUUGGCAUCAUGUCAAAACAAAAUAUUACUAUGUUUUAAUUCUAAUUGGUUUUACUCUCUUUUUACCCUAAUAUAAACGUUUGUGUAUUAAUAGUUUGCAUUUAAUUUAAUUUUAUAUUUUUAAGAAAUAAUUUGUCUUACUGCCCUGCUAUUAAGAAAGAACAUGUCAUUGUCUUUCAGCUCUACUAGAGGGUUUAAGAUCACAUUAAUUACUCUGUAUUAGCACUUGGUAAGUUAUUUUCCAAAAGUGAUGAGUUUGAUGAUUAACUUCAAAUGACUACCCUUGGUUUCAGCAAUUUGCUCAAAUAUUUAAGCUGUUGGUUUAAAUUCUUUGCUAGAUCAAGGAACAGAGUUUCCUCCUGUGUUUCCACUUCUGUUCUCAACAGAUGGAAGGCGUUACUGUCCUUUCUGAGAACUUAAAUUGCACAUGAUUUUAUUUGUCUCUUUAGAAACAUAAUAACUUUUUUUUUCCUUAUCUCCUUCUGUAACUAAAAAUUUACAGUCUUUUUAAUUACUCAGUGUCUGCUCUAAUGGGCCUCCCUUUCCUGUCCUAUUUCUGUUUUUCUGUCUUUUUGAGAUGAUGUAACCAGCUCUGAAUGCAGCACAUGGGAGAGGAGGAAAUUACAGUUGUUAUUAACAAUGUUGCCAAAAUUAGAGAGUCUUACAAGACACUGCUAUUGAGCAAAUUGGUGCAGAAGAAAUUCUGACUCAGACAAGUGAGAUGGGGAAAGCAGAGGCAUUGAUCUCUGCUGCUGUGACUCAUGGUAGCUUUCUCCUUGGGAAAGUCAGUUUGGGGCAGAAUCAGAACCCAUGGCACUGUGAAAGGCCAAGAUAAACCUAACCAAGAAGAUCAAGACCAAUUGUAUGACAGAAUUGGGGGUUUUGUGGCACAUUUUAUUCUUGUUCCCAGGGAUGCUGAAGAUACUUUUUUUUCAGGUAAUAGUAUGAUUAGCAUUUUCAGUGAUGUAUGGGUUAGAUUCAGCUCAUAAAAGUAUAAUGAUAUCGAAAAGAAAGUAUUGUAUUUUUAAGGUUAUACGUAGGCUUUGGUCCAGUCCAAUUAUUGCCUUAUUGCAGUGAGUCUGUUCUGUAGUAGCUCUUUUAGCUGUGAAAGUAUUUAACUAUUGUAGAAUUAGCCAGCAAGGAUAUAAUCAUACCCAGAGAUGUAACUUAUAAUUGAAAUUAUGAAUGCAGAUUUCAUUUCACAGCUUUCUUUGAGCUGCUGUGUAGGAGAAUUACUCUGGAAGAAUCUAUGGUAAGCACAUAAAUGCAGUCAGGAAGAAAGCCUUAAAAAUUCAAGCCCUAGGUAAAACUAUACUAAUUCCUGGAAAAGCUGCUGAA
Molecule: long non-coding RNA, 3504 nt
Organism: Neopsephotus bourkii (Bourke's parrot)
Lineage: Eukaryota; Metazoa; Chordata; Aves; Psittaciformes; Psittacidae
Exons: 4
Source: RefSeq, a predicted model, not a curated record